This 460-nucleotide ribosomal RNA is filed under the name uncultured bacterium. RNAcentral's name for it is "partial 16S ribosomal RNA". It matches the Rfam family "Bacterial small subunit ribosomal RNA", at positions 338 to 795 of the family's 1533-position model. The record is from RNAcentral.
CCUACGGGAGGCAGCAGUGAGGAAUAUUGGUCAAUGGCCGGAAGGCUGAACCAGCCAUGCCGCGUGAAGGUCAGUGCCCUAUGGGCGUUAAACUUCUUUUGUGCGGGAGCAAUAAUGGUCACGUGUGGCCAGACGAGAGUACCGUACGAAUAAGCAUCGGCUAACUCCGUGCCAGCAGCCGCGGUAAUACAGGGGAUGCAAGCGUUAUCCGGAUUUAUUGGGUUUAAAGGGUGCGUAGGCUGUGAGGUAAGUCAGCGGUGAAAUGCCGCCGCUCAACGGGGUGAAGUGCCAUUGAUACUGCCUGGCUGGAAUGCGGAUGCCGUGGGAGGAAUGUGUGGUGUAGCGGUGAAAUGCAUAGAUAUCACACAGAACACCGAUUGCGAAGGCAUCUCACGAAUCCGCGAUUGACGCUGAUGCACGAAAGCGUGGGUAUCAAACAGGAUUAGAUACCCCAGUAGUC